Molecule: ribosomal RNA, 385 nt
Filed under: Choanoflagellata sp.
Lineage: Eukaryota; Choanoflagellata
Description: partial small subunit ribosomal RNA
Rfam family: Eukaryotic small subunit ribosomal RNA
Source: RNAcentral
AUUCCAGCUCCAAUAGCGUAUAUUAAAGUUGUUGCAGUUAAAAAGCUCGUAGUUGGACUUCUGGGCCGUUUUGUUGGUCUGCCGCAAGGCUGCACUAGCGGGAUGGCCCAUCCUCUCGAAGGCUGGGGGUGCUCUUAACUGGGUGCUUCCAGAACUCGGGAUCUUUACUUUGAAAAAAUUAGAGUGUUCAAAGCAGGCUUACGCUUGAAUACAUUAGCAUGGAAUAAUGGAAUAGGACUUUGGUUCUAUUUUGUUGGUUUCUAGAACUGAAGUAAUGAUUAAUAGGGAUAGUUGGGGGCAUUAGUAUUUAAUUGUCAGAGGUGAAAUUCUUGGAUUUAUGAAAGACUAACUUCUGCGAAAGCAUUUGCCAAGGAUGUUUUCAUCA